UAAGGAAUAUUGGACAAUGGAGGCAACUCUGAUCCAGCCAUGCCGCGUGAAGGAAUAAGGCCCUAUGGGUUGUAAACUUCUUUUAGACGGGACAAAACCCCUUUACGUGUAAAGGGUUGAUGGUACUGUCAGAAUAAGCAUCGGCUAACUUCGUGCCAGCAGCCGCGGUAAUACGAAGGAUGCAAGCGUUAUCCGGAAUUAUUGGGUUUAAAGGGUGCGUAGGCGGACUAAUAAGUCAGUGGUGAAAGCCUGCAGCUUAACUGCAUAAUUGCCAUUGAUACUGUUAGUCUUGAGUACAGUUGAGGUAGGCGGAAUGUGUCAUGUAGCGGUGAAAUGCUUAGAUAUGACACAGAACACCGAUUGCGAAGGCAGCUUGCUAAGCUGUAACUGACGCUGAGGCACGAAAGCGUGGGGAGCAAACA
Molecule: ribosomal RNA, 422 nt
Filed under: uncultured bacterium
Lineage: Bacteria
Description: bacterial SSU rRNA
Rfam family: Bacterial small subunit ribosomal RNA
Source: RNAcentral